RNAcentral lists this transfer RNA (63 nucleotides) under Incoltorrida madagassica. Its description in RNAcentral is "tRNA-His". Lineage: Eukaryota; Metazoa; Arthropoda; Insecta; Coleoptera; Torridincolidae. The record is from RNAcentral.
AUUUAAGUAAUUUAAAAAAAAAUAUUGAUUUGUGGUGUCAAAAAUGUAGAUUUACCUUAAAUU